RNAcentral lists this long non-coding RNA (762 nucleotides) under Gallus gallus (chicken). Its description in RNAcentral is "lncRNA (ENSGALG00010025111.1)". The record is from RNAcentral. Lineage: Eukaryota; Metazoa; Chordata; Aves; Galliformes; Phasianidae.
GAGCACUUCCGGGGCAGCGCGGCAUGGCGGCGGGAGGGCGGUGAGCGGGGCCGGGCGGAGCGGGUUCUGUCCCGGGAACGGGGUCGGGCUUCAGUCCGGGGGCAUCGAGGGGCUCUCGGGAGAGGAGCUCGCGGUGCUGCCGGUCACCGAGAGGCAGGUCCCGGCUCGCAGGCGGGCUGCGUGGCCUCGCGAGAGCUGUGGGUGCCGGAGCGCAGGCCGGGGCGAGCGGGGCGGCUCCCAGGCGGCGCCGCUGCUGCCUUGGGCAGGGCGGUGGCAGCCCCGUGCUCCGUCGUGCGGCGGGAGCUCUCGUGUUUUGUCGCUCUUCGUUGGUGUCUGAAAGAGGACUCCCCGUUGGAAUUUGUACCGAGAAAACCCCAGAAUAUCGAGGAACAGAGCCUGAGUGGCCGAGAAAUUGAGUUGGGACUCAGGAGAACAAUUUGUGACUGUCACAAACUUCCUGUGUGGCCAUUGCAGGUUGGUGUUGUACAGCACAGAAGCAGCACGGUUGUGAAUACAUACACGAGAAGCCGCUCUCCUUGAGAACAGUAGAGCAGCAGGCUGUCUGCACUAUGGCUGCUGAACGGCAUUACUCCCACCUGAGAUCCCUGAGCCCACGCUGAUGGAGACUGUGCUGCACCACGGACUCUUCUUUGGAGCCAUUUUCCAGCUUCUCUGUGUGUUAGCCAUUAUCCUGCCAGUUUCCCAGUCCCGUAAGACAGUAAGUUGUGCUCUCUGAUCUUGAUACACAUGCACAGAAAAUAG